GAGAGCCGAGAUGCGGAGAAACUCCGCACGUCCGGUUCGGGAAGAGGGACGGGAGAGACGGCCCGGAAGAUAAGGGAAGGUUGAAAGUAAUCCAUACGCGCUCCCGCCCUACUUUCAC
This 118-nucleotide non-coding RNA is filed under the name Salinibacter ruber. Lineage: Bacteria; Pseudomonadati; Rhodothermota; Rhodothermia; Rhodothermales; Salinibacteraceae. The record is from RNAcentral.